This 454-nucleotide ribosomal RNA is filed under the name uncultured bacterium. RNAcentral describes it as "partial 16S ribosomal RNA". It matches the Rfam family "Bacterial small subunit ribosomal RNA", at positions 28 to 507 of the family's 1533-position model. The record is from RNAcentral.
GAUGAACGCUGACAGAAUGCUUAACACAUGCAAGUCAACUUGAACUUCGGUUUGGGUGGCGGACGGGUGAGUAACGCGUAAAGAACUUGCCUCACAGAUAGGGACAACAUUUGGAAACGAAUGCUAAUACCUGAUAUUGUGAUUAUAUGGCAUCGUAUAAUUAUGAAAGCUAUAUGCGCUGUGAGAGAGCUUUGCGUCCCAUUAGCUAGUUGGAGAGGUAACGGCUCACCAAGGCGAUGAUGGGUAGCCGGCCUGAGAGGGUGAUCGGCCACAAGGGGACUGAGACACGGCCCUUACUCCUACGGGAGGCAGCAGUGGGGAAUAUUGGACAAUGGACCAAGAGUCUGAUCCAGCAAUUCUGUGUGCACGAUGAAGUUUUUCGGAAUGUAAAGUGCUUUCAGUUGGGAAGAAAAAAAUGACGGUACCAACAGAAGAAGUGACGGCUAAAUACGUG